CAAGAAAUAGAUUCUGAGACUUGCAGCAAAUUUAUAGAAGACAAUUUUGAGGAUUCACAAAUUAACCGGGUAAAACCUAUUGCACAAUGUGACGAGUGAAGUUGGCCAACAGUUUGGCUGUAAAUAAUAAAUUAACAAGCACUAAAAAAUCAAAAAGCUUUCGUCUGAAACCAUUUUGUCAUUUUACAUUUGACAUUUAGAAGUCGGAACUGGGAUGCCCCAAGGUAAAAGCUUUAAUAAACUUCUAUAAAAGCUCUAAUGCCCUAGUCAAUUAACAUGUCUCCAGUUGUUCUUUGUAUCGCCGCUUUAGAGCUCUGCAUGCUGAAGUCAUCCCCGUGCCUUUUUAAUUCUUGGGAUCUAAUGAAUUCCUCAAUUCUUGCCUUCAACUCAACAUUUGGAAUCAGCAUGUCCGCAGUGAGAUGGGAGCGGUUGAAUGGAUCACUAUUGUCACUAAGAAGAUGCCUUUGAAUGACAGGUCUGUCUACUGUGAUUCUUGAAGAAGGUAAGAUCACCGGAUCCUUCAUCAAAGUGUAUUGAAUUGGAUCAAGGAAUUCAUCCGGUAUCUCUCCAAGGGCAGCUUCAGUGUCCAUUGCCUCAGAAGCUGCCACUUUGGCUUUGACACCGAGCUCAAUGAAUUCCUGUAUAACCCUCCCAUCUUCACCAAUUCUCCUAAGCACAUUAGCUGCAGCAUUAAAUAACUGCUCAUUGUAUGAUCGACCAUCCUUAGAGAUAGCAGCUGGAAAUAUGUUUUCUGUAUCACCCCUUGCCAGAUGAACAUAUACAUGGACAAUCUGUUUAAGCAACUGUUUUGGGCGGAAUUCAUACUUUUCUGGGUCUUUAAGAGUUAGAGAUUUUCUUUGGGGACCCACAAGUUGGAACAAAAAGUAAUUGAGCAUGCUGGCCACUCUUUCAACCAUCUCAGGAAGUAGAAAAGGUGCUGUAAUUUGCUCUGAUGUAAAUGCUAGCAUGCUCACAUCUUCAUUUGCCAAUUUCAUAUCAAUCCGAAUGAUAUUCUCUUGGGAAUGGAAAAGACGGGUCCUCUCCUGCCUCUCUUGAGCUGGCCUUCGCUCCCAUUCUGUAGUGUUUGACAUCUCAGCUUCCAACUCUUUAAGUUCAAGAAUUUUGUUCAGACUUUCAUCAAGAAGAAAGAUGCUAUCAUUGAUCAGGAAGUUUAAGAAAUUCAGAUAGACACCCUUUUCCUCUUCCUUAGCAAUCUGUCUCCAAGAAUUUCGAUGACUAGGGACCUCCCAUAGGUAUUCAAGAAGUUCUGCAAUAUUAUGUCGGAUGUUGAACUUAUCAUAAAACUGCACAAGAUAGAAAACAGAACAAUUAUGGUCCAUGGAACCCAAAAAUUCCAUUAUUUGACAUUGAAGACAGAUAAAUCAUUACUUGAUAAUUCAAUUAGAUAAAAAUGCAACAUGAAAUACAAUAAAAGGGAUGCAUUGAGAACUAGUCCUGAUAAAAGGAGUGAGCUAAAUGCCUAAUUAGAAUAUUCAAGAAAGAACGUAGAUCAUAUUCCUCCUGACAUAUGACAAUACCAGACAAAAACAAGAGAGCCAGUCCCCCACCACUGUUGACUCUAGAUUGUUUGUCAAGUGUAUAGCCAAUAUAAAGAAAUUACUGCCUGUGGGAUUAAAAUAUAUCUAGAAUAAAUGCUUAAAUUCAACGGUAUGAUAAAUAACAUUUGCACAAAUCAGCUGGUUGCAAAGGAUUAAUGCUACAGUUUGCUUCCAGCCAAGUGAUGAAAACAAUUGUCUCUCAGAAAAUCAAAUGUCAUGGAAGUCACCUGGGUGUGAGAACCAGUAAACUCAAUGUCAACAUAAAGCUUCAAGAGGUUCCUGACAAGAUACUCAAGGGACAAUUGAUGCCCUUCAAACAGAGUAGUCGCAGGAGAUGAACCACUUCUACGAGGCAUCCAGCAGUUCAAUACUUCAACCAUCUUUGCUCUUAGAUAAGGGUUUCUAAUGUAUGUUGGACUUGCCAUGAACAUGAUAAUAAAGUUCAUAAAAUCAUCCAACAAGACCCCAUCCAAAGCUUUUGGAAUCCGGGAAGCAAAUAUAAGCAAUUCCAUGGCAUCAUCCACAAAAUGUUCAGGCAAGGAUGCAAACUCCAUAGGGCAUGUUGGUGGCAGAGGCAUUUUAAAUCCACCAACCAGACCAACCAACCAAACCACGAUUAACCGGUAGAAAGAAAGUGCCCGCUGAAUAAGUGCUUCAUCCCUUAGUAUCUGAGCUUCAUAGCAAAGCUUUUCUUGUGAAUACAACUCUAAAUCUUUCUCAAGGCGAGCAAUAUCCAGCUGCAGUUGUGGAGAAGGUGACUGCUCUUGCAUGGCCUUCAGCGUCGAGAGACUGUCUUCACACCUUGAAAUGUCCUGAACUAGAUGCUUAAAGUCCGAAAAUGCUUUUAAAAGACCCAAGUUGAGCACUCUUGCAGUCAUAAAGAAGCAUUCACAGAUAAAUGUGUAUUUAGCCUUUUUACCACUACUUGAUGUAGGGUUAUCAGCACCACUACCAGAACUGGAGGCUUCAUGAGAUUGAAGCAAGCGAUUUUCACCAUCACUAGAAUGAGAAGGAACAACUGCUUUCCCAUGAUUAUCUUUAUUAAUCCACUCAGCAACUUCUUCUGAUGAUGCAUGUAGAGCUGUCAGCCCCCUUAGAUCCAAACGAUUACCGUAAAACACAUAUUUUGGAUCAAUCUUAUCCCUUUUUGUCAAAUUUAGAUCCAAAAAUGGUUCACAAAGCUUAAGCAUGACAGCACUUAGAUUAACAAACAUGCCUGAACUUGCACAAGAUAUAGGAUCAACCUGUAUAUGGGCUCUCGAUGGAUUUCUAUUGAUCACCUCAGCAAGAUAUUGAAGAACAUUCUCACGUGUAUCACUGCUUUUAAGCAAAGUGAAGAGAACCUUUUCUAGAUCAUCAUAUAGAUUAUUCAUAAGAGUCUUAAUUGUGGUGAAUGAAGAUAACAAAUCAGCUUGUCGACGAGUCGAUACUUCAGAGAAACACUGCUGUCCAACAUCCGGCUCGCUCUUGAAAAUGGUGUGAUCAGGCAAUGCACUAACAUGAAAAAAGGGCCCCAAAAUACUGGUCAUUUCGAUAACUCUUCCAUUCAAAUAAGCCCCUUUGGGAAUCCACCACGGAUGAUUCACAAGGGACUUAACUCCCACGGGAAAAGUAAGCAAAAACUUCAACGCCCUUAAAGGCUGCUGAAAAUUCCCCAACACUGAUACCUUUAUAACAUUCCCUCUCAAAUCCUCGUAAAGCCCCUUCAAUAUGGGGUCCAAGCUAUCAAAAUCCCCUUCCAGAAACAAAUCUUCCAAAAACCUCGGAGGCGGCGGCUGUGUUCCGCCGCUGUUAAACUCAUCUACGUCAGCGAAAAUGAGAGGAAGAAGCGGCGAAACAUUGGAUUUUUUAGGAUCAGAAUUAAAAGGGAACAUGUCUGGAUUCCCCAAAUGAAUUCUACAAUAAGAAACGAACAACUUCUUCGCUUGCUUGAUUGAGGAUUCCAAUUCUAAUUUGAUAUUUUUGUCCUUCAUAUUAGCAAUUUUCUUCUCCUCUUCCGUCGCGCGGCGAUAGCAGCCAAGUAGGUACUGGAACGGAGGCUCAGCUCCUGGGAAUUGUCCCGAUAGGCGAUCAAUCAGCACGCGUUCCACCAAGUCGCGAUUCACCUUCAAGUCUUUCCCUUCACUAAGGAUCUCUGCUGCGGUCAUCUCCAAGUAGACAAUUCGAGAAUCAGCAACUAUGGAGUCGGUGAGGGAGACUAGCAUGAUUUUGCGGAGGAUGAUAUCCUCGAUUUCCUCGAGGGACCUUUGGGGCUUCUUAGAGGAGGCCAUGGACAAUAACAACCAAAUUAUAUAAAAUAAUGAGAAUAAUAAUUAAAAAGUGUUAUGAUUUAGAAAUUUUUCUGGAGAAACAAACGGAAAGGGUUUAGGGAAGGCAGAGCCCAGAGGAAGGAGGAGGCGCAGCUGAAGGGAACCGUGCGUUGUUGAACCCUUUUAUCAUGCUUUCGUUUUCAG
Molecule: unclassified non-coding RNA, 4012 nt
Filed under: Hevea brasiliensis (rubber tree)
Lineage: Eukaryota; Viridiplantae; Streptophyta; Magnoliopsida; Malpighiales; Euphorbiaceae
Source: RNAcentral